GACGAACGCUGGCGGCGUGCCUAAUACAUGCAAGUAGAACGCUGAAGAGAGGAGCUUGCUCUUCUUGGAUGAGUUGCGAACGGGUGAGUAACGCGUAGGUAACCUGCCUGGCAGCGGGGGAUAACUAUUGGAAACGAUAGCUAAUACCGCAUAAAAUUGCUUAUCGCAUGAUAAUUAAUUGUAAGAUGCAAUUGCAUCACUACCAGAUGGACCUGCGUUGUAUUAGCUAGUUGGUGAGGUAACGGCUCACCAAGGCGACGAUACAUAGCCGACCUGAGAGGGUGAUCGGCCACACUGGGACUGAGACACGGCCCAGACUCCUACGGGAGGCAGCAGUAGGGAAUCUUCGGCAAUGGGGGGAACCCUGACCGAGCAACGCCGCGUGAGUGAAGAAGGUUUUCGGAUCGUAAAGC
This 413-nucleotide ribosomal RNA is filed under the name Streptococcus sanguinis. RNAcentral's name for it is "bacterial SSU rRNA". It matches the Rfam family "Bacterial small subunit ribosomal RNA", at positions 28 to 431 of the family's 1533-position model. The record is from RNAcentral. Lineage: Bacteria; Bacillati; Bacillota; Bacilli; Lactobacillales; Streptococcaceae.